This 1048-nucleotide ribosomal RNA is filed under the name uncultured Neocallimastigales. Its description in RNAcentral is "partial large subunit ribosomal RNA". The stretch from base 254 to 1048 matches the Rfam family "Eukaryotic large subunit ribosomal RNA", at positions 1 to 621 of the family's 3401-position model. The record is from RNAcentral. Lineage: Eukaryota; Fungi; Neocallimastigomycota; Neocallimastigomycetes; Neocallimastigales.
CGCAUCUGUGCAUGCAGCAUAUCAAUAAGCGGAGGAAAAGGUACCUACGCUUAGGAUGUUGACACACGCGCGUGCUCGAUGAUAGUCUAUACAUGACUCUGUGCAUAUCAAUAAGCGGAGGAAAAGGGGCUAAUUACCUACGCUUAGGAUGUUGAUCACACGCGCGUGCUCGAUCUAUACAUGACUCUGCGCAUAUCAAUAAGCGGAGGAAAAGGCUGCAGAACUGAACGACCGCUACCUACGCUUAGGAUGUUGACACACGCGCGUGCUCGACUCUAUACAUGACUCUGCGCAUAUCAAUAAGCGGAGGAAAAGAAACUAACAAGGAUUCCCUUAGUAACGGCGAGUGAAGCGGGAAGAGCUCAAAUUUGAAAUCUUCAAGGUUUUACCUUGACGAAUUGUAGUUUAAAGAAGUGUUUUCUGUUGAAGUUUUGGUAAAAGUUCUUUGGAAUAGGACAUCAUAGAGGGUGAGAAUCCCGUAUUUGACCAUUAUUUUCAGCUGUGUGAUACACUUUCAAAGAGUCGGAUUGUUUGGGAAUGCAGUCCAAAAUGGGUGGUAAAUUUCAUCUAAAGCUAAAUAUUGGCGAGAGACCGAUAGUGAACAAGUACCGUGAGGGAAAGAUGAAAAGAACUUUGAAAAGAGAGUUAAACAGUACGUGAAAUUGUCAAAAGGGAAGCGUUUGACACCAGUGUUGUUUUCUCGAAAAUCAAUUAAAAAGAGUUUGAUUUUGUUGUGUAUUGACCUUAACAGCUUGCAUUUCAAUUUUCUUGCUUUUUUUAAUGCACUUUUCGUUUAACAAGUCAACAUCAGUUUCUUUUGUUGUAAAAAGGUCAUUGGAAGGUGGCUUUCUUUUCGGAGAAAGUGUUUAUAGCCUUUGACUCCUGCAAUCGGAGAGACUGAGGUCUGCAGCGUAGAUCCUUCGGGGUUAGAUACAUUUGUGCUAAGUUAUAGCUUUUAUAGACAACUUGUUGACUAUGAUUAGUCUUGUAGCUUACUCGCUUAUGCUAUUUUACCUACGCUUAGGAUGUUGACACACGCGCGUGCUCG